GGAUAGGUAAAGGAGAAGAGAGCGGAGACACGCGGAGAGAGGGCAUGCGGCUCGGUGGCGCGGCGUAGCCUGUGGCCGCUGCCGCUGCUCAAGGUGGCGACGCGCGACCGGAGAAAGGGAAGGAAAGGAGGGAGGUAAAGAGGGAAGGCGUUGCUUGGAGCACACCGUCUCUCUCUCUCUCCCUGCGCUAACGCGGGAGGAGACGAGGGGAAACGCGAGCUGCCGCGGGAAGAGACCACCUCAUCGCCGCUCCGUGCCAACGCGGCCAGCGGCCGCAGCCGUCGUUUGGUGGCGCGGUGCGCUCGCUGGAGGGGAAAGGAAAAGAAGGAAGAAAAAGACACCGUUUCUCUUGCUCUCCUCUCACAGCGCCGCGGCGACGCGGGGGAGACGGGGGGAAGGGUAGGCGCAGCAACGGUAGGGGAAGCGGCCAACGCAGAUUCGGAGCGCCACUCGCGCGGCGGCAGCUUGCCAAACCGGCGCCACGGGGGAAAAGGAAAAAAAUAAGAAGAAGAAGGCUGCGGAGCCGAAUGACUACGCGCAGGCCUAGCUCUCCUUGCCGCGCAGGAACACCGCCGCGAGAAACAGCCGCUCGAGUUCCGGGACGGGCCACUCAAAGAAACGGGACAGAUCUCAAGAACCCCCCUUUCCUCCUAGAAAGAAAGAGACAUAUACGAAACAUGGCUUAUAGAAUCGGAUUGUACGAGACUUUGGUAACUAUCUACAACACUUAGUAAUCCGAUCUAAUCUAGCCACCAGGAUGGAAGAGGAAAACCGAGCUCCUCGAGGGCCACGGCCGGUACCACUGCCACCGGCCACUACCGUCUCUCAACUAGCACCCACUUCACCACCCUCAUGCCGCAACGCUGCUUGGAGCACUACGCUCGGCGGCCGGGGGUGGAGAAAUAUAUCACGUCCACUGUCCCCGGGCAGUGGGUAUUACCCAACUCGUGGGGGCUAGUCCCGCGCCUAGAUUCCCGGGCCACCCGGCAACCCGGGUGUGCCACUUCUAGUAGGAUUGUGUAGGACGAAGCUAUCAUUUAUUUUAAUAAAACCGGAUUGGGUACGACGUUGCUGAUAAGGAAGUUUAAAACUUAUCACUAACUCAGAAGUUCCGUACCGACCCAACGUCCAACUAUCUUUCUAAGAAAUACGUGUUACUAAGAUUGGUAGGAUGGAGUUUUUUUUUUUACUAAGUUUGGUAGGUGUUGAAGGGGAGUUAUAUUUGUAAAUUAAUCUGUACUCUUGUUACUUGAUAGUUUAUUCAUUGACUUAUAAAAUAUCCAAAGUUGUAAUUGUCUAUAAGAUUUUGUAAGUGGCUGUAUCAAGUAUUAAGUAAAGUUGUGUAUUAUUUGUGGAUGGGAACUCCGUAUAGCUUUCUACCGGAUUGUCCAUUGAUUGACUUUUAAAAUAUGUCUCUCAGGUACUGUACAUUCUGCUCCUCAGCUGCCGCUGUCUCUUAUGUUUAUGGAAGCAGCACGCGCGUCAAUAGACCAGCUCACUAGCGAGGAACAAAACAGUGUGAGUAGACGGUUGUGUUUAGCAAACCGAGAGGCCGUCCCACUAGUGCCGCGGCGGCGGUUUGGGGUCGCAGUGGAUACCCUUUUCUAAGCGGGUACGGAACCAGAGCGGCCGGUGCAGCAUCGUGUCUAGGUGAUCGAAGAGGCCGCUGACGAAGGCGCCCUCGAACUACGAGGCCCGCUGGAGGCGGUGCUGGACCAGGUCGUCGGGGAACAGCUCCAUGUAGUCGUGGCCCUGCCUCAGCGGCUACUGUCCCCUGGCGAAGCCACCGUGCUGCCAGCUCAAGGGCUAGAACUGACUGCGCUCGUCCUAGCACAUCUUUCGCAGGCCGCGCCUCCCCUAGUCGCCGCACCAGUGGUGCGGGCCGAGGCAGUGCCGCAGUAAAUUUUUUUUAUGAGCGAUCAAAGUAUUAUAACACGUAUAUCUAAAAAUUUUUCAGUCUGUAGUAUUUGAAACUAGCUUAAAUACCUUUUUUGUAAGUAGAUCUUGCGGUUUGAAUAUAGUAAUCUUGAAAGUAUGUAUGAAAUAUACAAACUAUAAUAUCGAUAUUUAUCAUAAAACCUUACCUCCCUCAUAGAGAUUUUUGAAUAUAGUAGUAUUUGAUAUAAAAUCUUACUUCCCUCACAGAAAUUUUUGAACCAGCUUAAAGUAUCAUGAGGGAGGUAAAGUUUUAUAUCACGCGAGCGCGAAGGGCUCCAGCUUGAAACUAGUAUUUAAAUUGCUUACUCUGGCUGAUGCCGCCCUCUUUUUCAAUGUAUUAAUUUUUGAAGAAAGCUUAUGCUUAAGUAACUAUAUUAAAAACGAGAACGGCGUUAGCUAGAACUAUCAAUUUAAAUGCCAGUUUCAACUUCGUGCUCCUAUGUUGUGAUAUAACAACACCUUACCUCCCUCAUCACGGAUAGCUGAGCUGACGGCACUCUCGCGUCAGUACGGCAGCCAGUUAACGAGCCACAAAACAGAGGCGCCAGUGUGAGUGGACGGUUGUGUCUAGCAAAGCGAGACGCGUGUGCGGUACGGGUACGCGCGCGAGAGAGAAGGAGAGGGCAGGGCAGUGGAGUUAGGUUAGGCGCCCGGCCGAGAACGAUAAGAAGAAGGGGAAAGUUUAUGAGAUGAGGUGUCGUGUGCGAGCCACAGUUCGUGAGUUCGGAUAAGUAAAGAGGAGCCAGGAGCGGUGGUGUGUUCACUCACUCCCUUCUCGAUCUAUGGUGGCAGCGGCGGGCGGGUCGUGGUCCUACCGCUGGUGGUGCUGGUGGCGCGACUCGUACUUCGAGGACCACCUGUGGGUCCGGGCCGCGCACGACAAGCGCCUCCGCUCGUUCCUGCACCACCUGAAGGAGAAGAGGGAGGAGCGCGACGGGCAGCCGUGGCGGCAGUUCGACGAGCCCUUCCUCCGGUACCAGCCGACGCAGCCGUCGGAGAUGCCGUCGCACCUCUUCGAGCUGCCGUGGAUGCAGGUCGGGCCGCGGCGGUUCCUGCGCGACGAGGUGGGGCGGCAGGAGAGCGGCAGCCGGUCGUCGUUUUCGAGGGAGGACCCGUACGGCGGCGGCGGCACGGGUGUCCGCUUCCGCAAGAUGUCUACGUCGUCCGUCACGUUGACGAUGUCGCUGCCUAUACUGCCGUCGUCGUCGGUCGUCCGAUCUACGUUGUCGACGGCCUGAAUGUACUGCCUCUCAAUGCCGUGGAUGACAGGUAGCACAUUCUUGGUCUACUGGUGCCGGAAGUGCCAGCACGGCAGCCGGCGCAGGCCUCCGCUCCACCGCGUCCGCCGCCCGCCGCAGUCGCCCUUCCCCAAGCACGUCCCGUAGCACUGCAUGUGCCACUACCUGCUGGAGUGCCACUGCGGGUACAGGAGGUAGAGGUCGUAGUGGGACGAGUUGUGGAAGCGGCAGUCGCUGGAGUCGCGCGAGGUCCUCUUCUGGCACGUCGAGCCGAUACUGGUCCCAGACCUCUAGGAGUUCCGCAGCGACGUCAGGUUCUGGCACGAGUGGCUGCAAAAGGACUUCGGGGGGUCGUCGCGAACUUUGCGUGCCAGGACGCGGAUUGUACGAGUAGCUGUACCCUUUCAUCGAGCUACACAGAUCGAUUUAAUCCAACUAGAAAACACGCCGGUAGUCUUGAUAGAUUGCCACCGUAGAAAACCAUUACAGUUCACAGGCUACCAUGAUACCAUCAUCAAUCUACGAGCAUCAGGUCGAAUUCAAUAGUCAACGAGGUCCAACAUGAUCAUGAAUACACAACUACGAACUACAUACGCAAACGUAGCGUCCAUCCCCAUAGUAGAAGACAACCAAGAGUUUUACAAAAAAGUACGCAUAGAGCAUACACAGCUG
Molecule: ribosomal RNA, 3848 nt
Filed under: Triticum aestivum (bread wheat)
Lineage: Eukaryota; Viridiplantae; Streptophyta; Magnoliopsida; Poales; Poaceae
Description: partial small subunit ribosomal RNA
Source: RNAcentral